RNAcentral lists this ribosomal RNA (419 nucleotides) under Stenotrophomonas maltophilia. RNAcentral describes it as "bacterial SSU rRNA". It matches the Rfam family "Bacterial small subunit ribosomal RNA", at positions 1 to 416 of the family's 1533-position model. The record is from RNAcentral. Lineage: Bacteria; Pseudomonadati; Pseudomonadota; Gammaproteobacteria; Lysobacterales; Lysobacteraceae.
UAAGUGAAGAGUUUGAUCCUGGCUCAGAGUGAACGCUGGCGGUAGGCCUAACACAUGCAAGUCGAACGGCAGCACAGAGGAGCUUGCUCCUUGGGUGGCGAGUGGCGGACGGGUGAGGAAUACAUCGGAAUCUACUCUGUCGUGGGGGAUAACGUAGGGAAACUUACGCUAAUACCGCAUACGACCUACGGGUGAAAGCAGGGGACCUUCGGGCCUUGCGCGAUUGAAUGAGCCGAUGUCGGAUUAGCUAGUUGGCGGGGUAAAGGCCCACCAAGGCGACGAUCCGUAGCUGGUCUGAGAGGAUGAUCAGCCACACUGGAACUGAGACACGGUCCAGACUCCUACGGGAGGCAGCAGUGGGGAAUAUUGGACAAUGGGCGCAAGCCUGAUCCAGCCAUACCGCGUGGGUGAAGAAGGCC